CCUACGGGUGGCAGCAGUGGGGAAUAUUGCACAAUGGGCGCAAGCCUGAUGCAGCCAUGCCGCGUGUGUGAAGAAGGCCUUCGGGUUGUAAAGCACUUUCAGCGGGGAGGAAGGCGUUAAGGUUAAUAACCUUGUCGAUUGACGUUACCCGCAGAAGAAGCACCGGCUAACUCCGUGCCAGCAGCCGCGGUAAUACGGAGGGUGCAAGCGUUAAUCGGAAUUACUGGGCGUAAAGCGCACGCAGGCGGUCUGUCGAGUCGGAUGUGAAAUCCCCGGGCUCAACCUGGGAACUGCAUUCGAAACAGGCAGGCUAGAGUCUUGUAGAGGGGGGUAGAAUUCCAGGUGUAGCGGUGAAAUGCGUAGAGAUCUGGAGGAAUACCGGUGGCGAAGGCGGCCCCCUGGACAAAGACUGACGCUCAGGUGCGAAAGCGUGGGGAGCAAACAGGAUUAGAUACCCGGGUAGUC
This 465-nucleotide ribosomal RNA is filed under the name uncultured Klebsiella sp. RNAcentral describes it as "bacterial SSU rRNA". It matches the Rfam family "Bacterial small subunit ribosomal RNA", at positions 338 to 795 of the family's 1533-position model. The record is from RNAcentral. Lineage: Bacteria; Pseudomonadati; Pseudomonadota; Gammaproteobacteria; Enterobacterales; Enterobacteriaceae.